GGAACAUAAAAAUAAAUGCACAUAUUAAGCUUAACUGAGUGUGCUAAAUACAUUGUAUGAAUUUACAUAAUUUCACUCAUAACGCAGUACUAUCUUUCAAAGUCAGCAGCGAACUCGUUUACAACAUACGUGUCCUGUUGUGUAUCUGUAACAGGAACACUACCUGCUACCAGAAGAUCAACCGGUCUUGUGGCUGGUUUGCCGGCGCCAUUUUGGAGUGGAAUACUGCCGCCUAGAGUUCAAAAUGGAGCUCAUAUCGAUUGAGGAACGUGUGUCUCCUGAGUCAGCAUGGAAGCGACCAGGAAAGCUGAGGAGAGCGAUGGUGUACGGUGGAAGCUCCGCCCACGGAGACCAAACAGCGUCGUCUGGCCUUGUGAGGUCACAUGCAGCUGUGUAAUAGGAUCAUUUGUGACCAAUUCGUUUGUGAAAGCAGCACCACCCAGUGGCUAAAAGUGUCGGUGCAAUAAGGAGGGAAACAAACACUUGCUGACACGCAAAUUGAAUUUCCAGCCCGAUGGCAGCUGCCUGAUAAACAGGCUGCAGGUGAGGAUGAGGAGGAAGAUGUCCAAUCCUAACCAGAGGAACGUGCUCAAGUGCUUUGUAAUGGGGACCUGCCCAAAUGGGCCCAAUUGUUGGAGCGGCCUCAGUUGUGAGCUGACAGGACCAAUGAAUGUGUGUGUGUGUGUGUGUGUGUGUGUGUGGAUGGCGCCAUGCUUCAUCGUCCCAGGUAGAGGCACAGCUGAUUUAAAGCAACAGCCGUCACUUAAUCAGCGUCACAGUGCCUUGACUGCAGCAGCGGCUGGGUUAUAUAAUGCAUGAGUGUGGGAUUCCCAGCAGAGGGGCGGCAGGGGAGCAUAAUGGAUGACUGCAGAGGGAGGCCGCUAUUGAUGUUUGCGAUUGUGAUCAUGAGUGCGAGGCCUCGGCUUGGGCUGCAGCUCCUCCACUCUUCAAUAAUCCGAUAAAGACGGCCGGCCUCUCAGAAGGGCAUCCCUGCUUCUCCAAGCGCUAUUUGGUCCGCUUCUCCACCGUACAGUUUGGAACGGGGAAACUCUGACCCAGUUUUCAAUGAAUUCGAUUCAGAAGAUCAAGAUUCUAGAUGGUAAUAAACAACACAGACAACAUCAGUUUGAAGCCCUUUUGAGGCGCCUUUGUGAUUAAGGGCUGCACGUCGGUUGAGUGGUUAGCUAGGAGAACGGAGUUCCGGAGUUCAAUCCCACCCUCGGCCAUCUCUGUGUGGAGUUACAAGUUCAGGGAAGGGCUGCACGGCGGUUGAGUCGUUAGCGCACAGACCUCACAGCUAGGAGACAGGGGUUCAAUUCCACCCUCGGCCAUCUCUGUGUGGAGUUUGCAUGCACAUUCCAAAAACAUGCUAAUGUGCAAAAACACACUAA
Doryrhamphus excisus (bluestripe pipefish) is the source of this 1391-nucleotide non-coding RNA. The record is from RefSeq and is a predicted model, not a curated record. NCBI's taxonomy places the organism in Eukaryota, Metazoa, Chordata, Actinopteri, Syngnathiformes, Syngnathidae.